RNAcentral lists this ribosomal RNA (505 nucleotides) under uncultured bacterium. RNAcentral describes it as "partial 16S ribosomal RNA". It matches the Rfam family "Bacterial small subunit ribosomal RNA", at positions 28 to 507 of the family's 1533-position model. The record is from RNAcentral.
GACGAACGCUGGCGGCGUGCCUAAUACAUGCAAGUAGAACGCACAGUUUAUACCGUAGCUUGCUACACCAUAGACUGUGAGUUGCGAACGGGUGAGUAACGCGUAGGUAACCUGCCUGGUAGCGGGGGAUAACUAUUGGAAACGAUAGCUAAUACCGCAUAAUAUUAAUUAUUGCAUGAUAAUUAAUUGAAAGGUGCAAUUGCACCACUACCAGAUGGACCUGCGUUGUAUUAGCUAGUAGGUGAGGUAACGGCUCACCUAGGCGACGAUACAUAGCCGACCUGAGAAGGUGAUCGGCCACACUGGGACUGAGACACGGCCCAGACUCCUACGGGAGGCAGCAGUAGGGAAUCUUCGGCAAUGGACGAAAGUCUGACCGAGCAACGCCGCGUGAGUGAAGAAGGUUUUCGGAUCGUAAAGCUCUGUUGUAAGAGAAGAACGGGUGUGAGAGUGGAAAGUUCACACUGUGACGGUAUCUUACCAGAAAGGGACGGCUAACUACGUG